ACGAACGCUGGCGGCGUGCUUAACACAUGCAAGUCGAACGGUGAAGGGACCGGUUUUUGCUGGUUCUGGAUGUGUGGCGAACGGGUGAGUAACACGUGAGUAACCUGCCCCCUUCUUCUGGAUAACCGCAUGAAAGUGUGGCUAAUACGGGAUAUUCUGCGCCUGCUGCAUGGUGGGUGUGGGAAAGAUAUUGUUUCGGUGGGGGAUGGGCUCGCGGCCUAUCAGCUUGUUGGUGGGGUGAUGGCCUACCAAGGCGGUGACGGGUAGCCGGCCUGAGAGGGUGGACGGUCACACUGGGACUGAGACACGGCCCAGACUCCUACGGGAGGCAGCAGUGGGGAAUAUUGCACAAUGGGCGCAAGCCUGAUGCAGCGACGCCGCGUGAGGGAUGGAGGCCUUCGGGUUGUAAACCUCUUUCGCCAGUGAAGCAGGCCUGUCCCUUUUGUGGGUGGGUUGACGGUAGCUGGAGAAGAAGCGCCGGCUAACUACGUG
This 492-nucleotide ribosomal RNA is filed under the name uncultured bacterium. Its description in RNAcentral is "partial 16S ribosomal RNA". It matches the Rfam family "Bacterial small subunit ribosomal RNA", at positions 29 to 507 of the family's 1533-position model. The record is from RNAcentral.